RNAcentral lists this ribosomal RNA (438 nucleotides) under uncultured bacterium. RNAcentral's name for it is "bacterial SSU rRNA". It matches the Rfam family "Bacterial small subunit ribosomal RNA", at positions 340 to 773 of the family's 1533-position model. The record is from RNAcentral.
UACGGGAGGCAGCAGUGGGGAAUAUUGCACAAUGGGCGCAAGCCUGAUGCAGCCAUGCCGCGUGUAUGAAAAAGGCCUUCGGGUUGUAAAGUACUUUCAGUCGUGAGGAGGUGUUAAGGUUAAUAACCUUAGCAAUUGACGUUAGCGACAGAAGAAGCACCGGCUAACUCCGUGCCAGCAGCCGCGGCAAUACGGAGGGUGCGAGCGUUAAUCGGAAUUACUGGGCGUAAAGGGCACGCAGGCGGUUAAUUAAGUUGGAUGUGAAAUCCCCGGGCUUAACCUGGGAAUGGCAUUCAAGCUGGUUAGCUAGAGUCUUGUAGAGGGGGUAGAAUUCCAUGUGUAGCGGUGAAAUGCGUAGAGAUGUGGAGGAAUACCGGUGGCGAAGGCGGCCCCUGGACAAAGGACUGACGCUCAUGUGCGAAAGCGUGGGGAGCAAAC